Molecule: long non-coding RNA, 4525 nt
Filed under: Musa acuminata (dwarf banana)
Lineage: Eukaryota; Viridiplantae; Streptophyta; Magnoliopsida; Zingiberales; Musaceae
Description: long non-coding RNA (MACU_LNC003589)
Source: RNAcentral
CGUUCACCAACAGGAUCGUGCCCCGCGGGACGUGGAAGCCGCCGACGACGCACUCGUCGGACGACUCGUGCGGCACCAGGAGAGGGCCUGCGGGGUACAUCCGGAGCGUCUCGGCGACGACGCAGUGGAGGUAGGGAAGGUUAGGCAGGUCGGACUCGUCGAGCAAGCGCCCGUUGCCAACGCGUGCGUCAAUCUCGGCUCGCGUUUUGUCCAUUGCAUUUGGAUGGUUGAGCAGAAGCGACAACGCCCAUUCGAUUGUACGGGCCGUCGAAUCCGUUCCAGCUGAUAAUAAGAUCUUCGGAGAACAUUGAAACGGGAAGAAUCAGCAUCACACCAUCAUCAAAUAGACAAAGCAGCAGCUCAGAUUUAGAAGAAGAACUCACUGAAAUAAGUGAUUUGAUGAUCUGAUCUGAAUAGUUCUCAGGAUCUGUCUUCUGCAACGAGAGGAGAUCACUUAUCGUCGUCUUCUCCUCUUUAGCCUCAGUGGUUUGACUCUCGUCGCCGCCCUUGGUCCUCAGCUCAUCGAUUAGUUGCUGCAGGAACUCGUCCCUCACCCUGUGCAGCCUCAUCAACUUUCGCCUGACUCCACCGUAAUCGACCCACCUCAGCAGCGGAAUGAAGUCAACGACGUUGGACGCGCCGCUCAACGCGAAUAUUUCCUCCACCGUGACCAUAAACCUCUUCGACUCUUCCGACACCACUCCCUCCUCCCCGGAGUACCUCUUCCCCGCGAUCGUCCGCAUCAGGACGUUCAUCGCAAGCUGGAACAACCUCGUCUUGAGCUCCACCUUGGCCAACCCAUCGGCUGCGGCGUCGCACGCCCGAAGCAGUUCCCGGGCCAUGGAGCGCACCUCGUGGGCGCGAGCGUCGGACGAGGACCGGAGGCGGUGGGAGGAGAGGACCUCGACGGUGGCGACGCGGCGGAAGUGACGCCAGUAGGGGCCAUAGUUGGCGAAGUCGAGGGUGGUGUUGUUUUUGUACAAAAGGUAUUUCCUAGAGGGGAGGAUGGGGCGGUUGGCGAAGGUGAUGUCGUGGGUCGUGAAGCACUCGUCGGCGGCGGCUGGGGAGGCGACGACGAGGACGGGACGGCCGCCGAAGCGGAGGAGCAGGACAGGGCCGUGCAGGGCGGUGAGGCGGGCAAGGCAGCGGUGCAGGGGCUUCCUGCAGAGAUGCAGGUGGCCUAUGAAGGGGAGGGAAGGAGGGCUUGGCGGUAAAUUCUUCUUCGUGUUGUUCUUCUUGGCGGAGAAAAGGAGAUAGAGCAAGAGGAUUAGCACAAGGAAGAGGGUGAAGGAGAAGGAUGCUUCCAUGGUAAGCAGCAGGAUGUGUGUGUGUGUGUGUGUGUGUGUGUGCGGAUAGAGGGAAGGGAUAUAGGUGCCGUUAACACGGCUGGCAACCACAGGGCUAAUUAGAUGUUAGAUCAUCUUAGCAUUUCAGUCUUUGGAUUCAAAAAAAAUUUAUAUUUAUCUUUUUAUUAUUAUGAAAGUGAGGCACCAUCAACUUUACUUAUAGGAGAUUAUAAUAUUAUUAAUUUUAAUAAUUUUAAAAUAAUUAUUUUAGAGAAUAUCGUUUUAUCAUAUCACCUCUAGUUGUUCUAUUUCCAUCAUCUUAAAAAGUUUAUUGAUCUCGCAAAUCACAAUGGUGUUCAAUAUGAUCGCUUGGUGAUGGGAUGAUACUGAAGAAGGAAAGCUGAUGAAGACGGGUAUCAACUUAUCUAUAUAAUUGACGAAAACAAGAUAAUAUAUAUGUACCAACAAAGGAGGUAGACGAAGAUAUUAUCGGAGGAAAGCGACAUGAUAAAAUCAAUAUCUGAUUCAUAAAAUAGAUAAUUCUACACCUGUUUCCUGAUUUGAUAAGAAUAAAUAAAAUUAAAUAUUUUAUUUUGAUAAUUAUAAAAAUAUUAGUAUAAAUUUUUAAAUCUAAAAAAUAAAACACUAAGAGGAUAACUACGAGGGGACAAUAUAACACGAGCUAAGAAACAAAUUUUCUUCAAUCAACUUCGCAUCUCGUCGUACGGGGAGAGUUUUUUUAUUUGUCGGAGGGAGGUUCCCAUGAUUCGUGAGGCGAAGGAUAAAGUAGGAGGGACAUCAAGAGAGAGAAUACUUUAUGACACGAUUGGUGUCGCAUCUCCCAAUACUUUAUUCCUUCUCUCUCUCUUUUCUUAUAUGCCCAUAUUGCCCCCAAUAUAACAAAGCUCCAACACAUACGUUUCUGUCAUGGAUCGGUCCUCCAGCGAAAUCGAUCAGUGCUACGUCCGCCCGAGAGUCACUGUUCUCUCCAUUGAUGGGUUCAGACAAAAACAAAAACAUAGCGUUCAAUGUUUAAUAGUUGCACCCAUUGAGACUUCCUCAAAUAUUUAACAAAGGAAUUCAUAUCUAGCAACCAAAAGAGGGAUCUGCUCUUCCUUCUCCACCUUCUUCUAAAACUUGUAUGCAAUGAAAAAUUCAAAACGAGUGUGCACCAAGUCAUAGCAUCUUUUAUAACUAAAUAAAAAUACUGUGAUGAUGUUAAAAAAUAUUGUAACUCACUUCUUAUCACUCAAAAAUCCCUUCUAACUUUGCAUGUGAACUGUAUUAUUGAAUCUUUACUAUUUAUGAUAAAGUCUAAUAAGGUUUGUUUAUUUAUUAUCGAAAAUUAUUGCCUUGCCCAUAUUCUCAAACAUGCAUUGCAUUGUGUAGAUAUCAUUUUGUAACCACUUAUUAUUGUAAUUUGUAUCGUGAUUCUGAAUUCUUGCAUAGAUCUAACUUUUCUUUUAAGAGAACUCAAGCCUCAUGACUGUGAGAUUAUGAUUCAAUUGGUGACAACAUCAGAUGACUGCUUUCAUCUGGUAUUUUUCGGCAUUUCGAAGAUGACUUGGAGAUUUAUAACAUAUAUAUGACCUACCUUUAGCAUAAACGCAGCAUAUUUAUAGAAUAAAUAUUCUGGUGCUUUAUUGACUAUUACAAUAAUUGAUGGUACAUAUAAACUGCUUCCACUUGAAUUUGCUAUCAUCAAGAUUAAAAAUGGAGAUUCUUAUGAGUUAUUUCAGUUUGAACUUAGAAGAUAUAUUAGAGCAUUUGAAUCUUUGGCUCUUAUUAAUGAUCACAACCCUAGUAUUCUUUCGAUUAUAAAAGAUAUUUUAUUUGAAGCACAUCAUGGAUAUUUCAUGAUAUAUCUUUAAAAAGAUACAUGGUUACUAAAGUGCAUAAUAGAAAAGCAACAUAGUUGUUUUGGUUUAUUAAUUAAACAAAAGAUAUGUAUAAAUUCAAUGAAUGUAAGAAAAGAAUAAGAGAUCAUAAGUUAACAUUGGUUUUGUCGAUUGAUAAGAUAUUUUGGGUUGCUAUUUUAGACCAUCAUAUUAGAAGUUUUCACUAAUUUUACUAUAAUUGUCUUUAAGUAAUUCAUUAUAUACGGUUGAGGAAAAACUCAACAGUUUUGACCCUUCUUCUUUGUCUUGCCAAAUUAAUCAUCGACAAUGAUUGUUAAGUAAUAAGCAACCAACGAAUCUCCCUUAAUAAUAAAUUCAUAUUUAAUAAUUUUUCUUCUUAUCAUUUCAAUUAUAUAAGUAAUAAAUCAUGAACCUCAUUUAACAAUAAAUAUAUACUUUUUAAUCCAUUUUUCGUGAGCAUGGUGUACCAACACAACCAAGAAAAAAUUAUGAUUGUUAUUUUCUCUUUCUCAAGUUCAAAUAUCCAAAGUUUAUCAAUGGUUUUUUCCUCAACUUUUAUAUGCAUUUUAUUUGUCAAGCAAUUUUAUAUUGGUGGUAAAAGAUAUAUCUAUUACAUAUCAACUCACCGCCACAGAGCUUACUAACUAGCCUGUGUCAUGCAUGCUGCUUUCUGCUUUCUGCUUUGUCUUCUUGAUCAUCUGUGAUUCAACCAUGGGAUCAAGUGCCAAGCUAGUAUUUAUCCUGCGACAGAUGACACAAAGCUGACCUAAAGCUCCGAGCUGAGAUGAGCCAAGCUUGGGCGUGGAUGACACGUCGCUUCAAGAGCGACAGCUUUGGGCAGUGAGAGGCCCGACCCUUCGGCCAUGUCCACCUCCUUGUCGCCGACUCUGCCCCACUCGAAGCACUGGAUCAACGUUCCCAGCGUCAGCCCCAUCAUUCUCGCUGCCAGCCCUUCCCCGGGGCACUUCCUCCUCCCCAUGCCGAACGGCGCCAGCCACUUCCCUUCUCCCUUCCCACCCUCGAACCUCUCCGGCAUGAACCUCGCCGGUUCGUCCCACGUCUUGGGGUCCCGGUGCAUGGCAUAGGCGUUCACCAACAGGAUCGUGCCCCGCGGGACGUGGAAGCCGCCGACGACGCACUCGUCGGCCGACUCGUGCGGCACCAGGAGAGGGCCUGCCGGGUACAUCCGGAGCGUCUCGGCGACGACGCAGUGGAGGUAGGGAAGGCUAGGCAGGUCGGACUCCUCGAGCAAGCGCCCGUUGCCAACGCGUGCGUCAAUCUCGGCUCGCGUUUUGUCCAUCGCGUUGGGAUGGUUUAGCAGAAGCGACAUCGCCCAUUCGAUUGUAUUGGCCGUCGCAUCCGUUCCAGCUGAUAAUAAGC